Molecule: ribosomal RNA, 516 nt
Filed under: uncultured Bacillota bacterium
Lineage: Bacteria; Bacillati; Bacillota
Description: bacterial SSU rRNA
Rfam family: Bacterial small subunit ribosomal RNA
Source: RNAcentral
CGCGAAUUCUUUGGAAUUCAGUCAGUUCUAUGAGGACUCUGAGAGUGAUUUGAGGAUUCGAAAAGUAAAGCUGUACGCCAGGAAACAUUUGACAACCCCUGAUAAACAAGGCAUGGCUAACUACUUGCUGGCAUCCGCGGCAAUACCUAGGUGCAGAGCGUUGUCCGGAAUAACUGGCGGUAAAGGAUGCGAAAUUGGACAUUUACGUGGGAUGGGAAAACCGGGGCUCUCACCCGGUAACUGCUUUCUAAACUGGAUGUCUCUUGUGCAGGGGAGGAAAGAGGAUUUUCUAUUGCACCGAUGAAUUGCCCCUAUAUUUGGAGAAACACCAGUCACUAAAGCGGAUCCCUGCACUGUCUCUGACAUUGACGCCCGAACGCGUCCCAGCACAACGAAUAAUAUACCCUGUUAUGUUCGCCCCAAAAGAUGGGAACCAGGUGUGGGAGGCGUCGACCCCUUCCGUCCCAUAUAAAGCACUAUUAAUCCCCCCCCUGGGCUACACGCCCGCGACACUAA